GGGAAAUGGGCAAAGGGGCCAGCCUCAGGCCCCGCAACAAACUGGGGCA
Molecule: regulatory RNA element, 49 nt
Organism: Nomascus leucogenys (northern white-cheeked gibbon)
Lineage: Eukaryota; Metazoa; Chordata; Mammalia; Primates; Hylobatidae
Source: Rfam